UGCAGUCGACGAUGAAUUCUCUGCUUGCAGAGAAUGGAUUAGUGGCGAACGGGUGAGUAACACGUGGGUAACCUGCCCAUAAGAGGGGGAUAACAUUCGGAAACGGAUGCUAAUACCGCAUAGGUCUUUGAGACGCCUGUCUCUUAGAUGAAAGGUGGCUUCGGCUGCCGCUUAUGGAUGGACCCGCGGCGUAUUAGCUAGUUGGUGAGGUAAUGGCUCACCAAGGCUGUGAUACGUAGCCGACCUGAGAGGGUGAUCGGCCACACUGGGACUGAGACACGGCCCAGACUCCUACGGGAGGCAGCAGUAGGGAAUCUUCCACAAUGGGUGAAAACCUGAUGGAGCAAUACCGCGUGAGUGAAGAAGGUCUUCGGAUCGUAAAGCUCUGUUGUUAGAGAAGAACAAGUCGGGUAGUAACUGCCCCGGCCUUGACGGUAUCUAACCAGAAAGUCACGGCUAACUAC
RNAcentral lists this ribosomal RNA (464 nucleotides) under Marinilactibacillus sp. J15.51. RNAcentral's name for it is "bacterial SSU rRNA". It matches the Rfam family "Bacterial small subunit ribosomal RNA", at positions 56 to 504 of the family's 1533-position model. Lineage: Bacteria; Bacillati; Bacillota; Bacilli; Lactobacillales; Carnobacteriaceae. The record is from RNAcentral.